GCUGGUUGGAUCAGUGGCGAACGGGUGAGUAACACGUGAGCAACCUGCCCUUCACUCUGGGAUAAGCCUUGGAAACGGGGUCUAAUACCGGAUAUGACAUCCUCAUGCAUGUGGGGGUGUGGAAAGAUUUAUCGGUGGGGGAUGGGCUCGCGGCCUAUCAGCUUGUUGGUGGGGUAAUGGCCUACCAAGGCGACGACGGGUAGCCGGCCUGAGAGGGCGACCGGCCACACUGGGACUGAGACACGGCCCAGACUCCUACGGGAGGCAGCAGUGGGGAAUAUUGCACAAUGGGCGCAAGCCUGAUGCAGCGACGCCGCGUGAGGGAUGACGGCCUUCGGGUUGUAAACCUCUUUCAGCAGGGAAGAAGCGAAAGUGACGGUACCUGCAGAAGAAGCGCCGGCUAACUACGUGCCAGCAGCCGCGGUGAUACGUAGGGCGCAAGCGUUGUCCGGAAUUAUUGGGCGUAAAGAGCUCGUAGGCGGUCAGUCGCGUCUGCUGUGAAAACUCGAGGCUCAACCUCGGGCUUGCAGUGGGUACGGGCUGACUAGAGUGCGGUAGGGGUGACUGGAAUUCCUGGUGUAGCGGUGGAAUGCGCAGAUAUCAGGAGGAACACCGAUGGCGAAGGCAGGUCACUGGGCCGCAACUGACGCUGAGGAGCGAAAGCAUGGGGAGCGAACAGGAUUAGAUACCCUGGUAGUCCAUGCCGUAAACGUUGGGCACUAGGUGUGGGGUCCAUUCCACGGAUUCCGUGCCGCAGCUAACGCAUUAAGUGCCCCGCCUGGGGAGUACGGCCGCAAGGCUAAAACU
This 807-nucleotide ribosomal RNA is filed under the name Cellulomonas gelida. RNAcentral's name for it is "bacterial SSU rRNA". It matches the Rfam family "Bacterial small subunit ribosomal RNA", at positions 82 to 901 of the family's 1533-position model. Lineage: Bacteria; Bacillati; Actinomycetota; Actinomycetes; Micrococcales; Cellulomonadaceae. The record is from RNAcentral.